Molecule: transfer RNA, 86 nt
Filed under: Belnapia rosea
Lineage: Bacteria; Pseudomonadati; Pseudomonadota; Alphaproteobacteria; Acetobacterales; Roseomonadaceae
Description: tRNA_Leu_CAA
Rfam family: tRNA
About the family: Transfer RNA (tRNA) molecules are approximately 80 nucleotides in length. Their secondary structure includes four short double-helical elements and three loops (D, anti-codon, and T loops).
Source: RNAcentral
GGGGGCGUGGUGGAAUGGUAGACGCAGGGGACUCAAAAUCCCCCGGCCGCGAGGCCUUGCCGGUUCGAGUCCGGCCGCCCCUACCA